UCCAUUUAUGGAGUGUGAGCUCCUCUUAUCA
This 31-nucleotide transfer RNA is filed under the name Phrynocephalus mystaceus aurantiacaudatus. RNAcentral's name for it is "partial tRNA-Tyr". Lineage: Eukaryota; Metazoa; Chordata; Lepidosauria; Squamata; Agamidae. The record is from RNAcentral.